GGUGGAAGAGUCUGACAGCUCCGGCUGAGCAGGGAUCCCAUCGCAGAUGAGGUGUUUGGGUUUCCCACACACAGCCAAACCUUCACCUUCCUCCAGAGAAAAUGCUUCUCCACUCAUCUUCUGCAGGGAGAAGGAAUUGAGCUUGUUCAUCAGAGUUGUUGUGUGAGGCUUCAUUCUACACCUUGGGCUGGAACUCUGGAUUUCUCUUGCCUUCAAAGUUGUCCGCCCAGGUUUACAGUGCAGGAGUGAGAUGUGGUUCCAGAAUAUUGUUUCUUUCAAACGAAGACAAGGUGCUCAGGGUGAGCCAGCAGCAGAAUUUAUCUGCAGGUGCUUGAAUGCAGUUUUGACAGGAGGCAUUUGGGUUUAAGAUGUACCAGCCCAGAGGACUCCAGGGAUCCCAACCUCGGGUCCUAGCUGGGAGGAUAAGUGCCUCGGUGCUCCUGUAUCACCUCGAGGAACGACCCAUCUCCGACUGCAAAUGACCUUUUGUCAGAAACCGGUUUCGGAUAUGCGGGGGCAGCUCUCAGUGCUGGCGUGUGUGCUUGCAACAAUAUAAAACACGACAUAUCAUACCAUACUUUCCUGAAUCAAAUAUAACAAUAUUAUAUUGGCGCGAAUUACAGCCAUCACAUACAACGAUGGGGAUAUUCUGCUCGUGUUCUGUUUGGAUGGAUGAGAGGCAGGCCGUGAAGAACCAACAGGGGCAUGUGCUGUCCUGUCCUCCCAAACUGUGUGAGGCAGAGCACCCCAUCUGGCAGAGGGACACAGCGGUACGUGGCAGAAUAAACAUUCCGAACUAAGCUUCAAUUAUUUUGCUUUGGUUUUGGAAAGUGACAAGUGAGUCCCAGGGACACAUUGAAAACCUGCUCCGAGCCAAGAAAAUGUUUACAAAUCCCAGUGCAACAACCAAAUCGAUCAAUCCAUGUAUUCUGCUCUGGCCUAUCAGAGUCAAAAGAGCCACAAAUAGUUGGUAGUUGGUGAUGUUUGUGGAGAAGAUGAGAUUUUUUUUUGUU
This is a non-coding RNA of Lonchura striata (white-rumped munia), 1013 nucleotides long. The record is from RefSeq and is a predicted model, not a curated record. Lineage: Eukaryota; Metazoa; Chordata; Aves; Passeriformes; Estrildidae.